This 502-nucleotide ribosomal RNA is filed under the name uncultured bacterium. RNAcentral describes it as "partial 16S ribosomal RNA". It matches the Rfam family "Bacterial small subunit ribosomal RNA", at positions 30 to 523 of the family's 1533-position model. The record is from RNAcentral.
AUUGAACGCUGGCGGCAUGCCUUACACAUGCAAGUCGAACGGCAGCGGGGGAGAAGCUUGCUGGGAGAGAAAGUGGCGCACGGGUGCGUAACGCGUAUGCAACCUACCUUUAUCAGGGGGAUAGCCCGGAGAAAUCCGGAUUAAUACCGCAUAAAAUCACAGAACGGCAUUGUUCAAUGAUCAAACAUUUAUGGGAUAAAGAUGGGCAUGCGUGUCAUUAGCUAGUUGGCGGGGUAACGGCCCACCAAGGCAACGAUGACUAGGGGAUCUGGGAGGAUGGCCCGCCACACAGGGACUGAGACACGGACCAGACUCCUACGGGAGGCAGCAGUAAGGAAUAUUGGUCAAUGGAGGCAACUCUGAACCAGCCAUGCCGCGUGCAGGAAGACUGCCCUAUGGGUUGUAAACUGCUUUUAUCCGGGAAUAAACCUCCGAUCGUGAUCGGAGCUGAAUGUACCGGAAGAAUAAGGAUCGGCUAACUCCGUGCCAGCCGCCGCGGUAA